GACAGAGGGUGCAAACGUUGUUCGGAAUUACUGGGCGUAAGCGCGUGUAGGCGGCCCUGCAAGUCGGAUGUGAACGCCCUGGGCUUAACCUAGGAAGUGCAUUCGAAACUGGCAGGGCUUGAGUUCUGGAGAGGAAGGCGGAAGUUCUCGGUGUAGAGGUGAAAUUCGUAGAUAUCGAGAGGAACACCGGUGGCGAAGGCGGC
This 203-nucleotide ribosomal RNA is filed under the name uncultured bacterium. RNAcentral describes it as "partial 16S ribosomal RNA". It matches the Rfam family "Bacterial small subunit ribosomal RNA", at positions 524 to 725 of the family's 1533-position model. The record is from RNAcentral.